Molecule: ribosomal RNA, 2311 nt
Filed under: human gut metagenome
Description: bacterial LSU rRNA
Rfam family: Bacterial large subunit ribosomal RNA
Source: RNAcentral
AGAGCGCAAGGGGAAUGCCUUGGCACUAGGAGCCGAAGAAGGACGCAGCAAACUGCGAUAAGCUAUGGGGAGCCGUAAGCAGGCAUUGAUCCAUAGAUAUCCGAAUGGAGCAAUCCGGCCGGAGUCAUGUCCGGUCAUCAUAUACUGAAUACAUAGGUAUAUGAGGGGAACCGCCUGAACUGAAACAUCUAAGUAGGGCGAGGAAGAGAAAUCAACCGAGAUUCCGCUAGUAGUGGCGAGCGAACGCGGAAGAGGCCAAACCGAGAGUAGCAAUACACUCGGGGUUCGGACAGUAGAAUGUAUGGCAGAGUAUAGCAGAAUGGCAUGGGAAGGCCAAUCAGAGAGUGUGAGAAUCACGUAUGCGAAAUGCAAAGCUGGCAAACUGUAUCCAGAGUACUGCGGGACACGUGAAAUCCCGUGGGAAUACGGGGGGACCACCCUCCAAGCCUAAAUACUACCUAGUGACCGAUAGAGAAGAGUACUGUGAAGGAAAGGUGAAAAGAACCCCGGGAGGGGAGUGAAAUAGAACCUGAAACCUUGUGCUUACAAGCACCGAGAGCCCGUCAAAGGGUGAUCGGGUACCUAUUGUAGAAUGGUCCGGCGAGUUAAUGUAACUGGCAAGGUUAAGGACUAAAGGUCCGGAGCCGCAGCGAGAGCGAGUCUGAAUAGGGCGUAUGAAGUCAGUUAUAUUAGACCCGAAACCGGGUGACCUACCCAUGUCCAGGUUGAAGUGGAGGUAAAACUCCAUGGAGGACCGAACCGACUCCCGUUGAAAUGGUAGCGGAUGAGGUGUGGGUAGCGGAGAAAUUCCAAUCGAACCCGGAGAUAGCUGGUUCUCUCCGAAAUAGCUUUAGGGCUAGCCUCAUAUUAGAUUACUGGAGGUAAAGCACUGAAUGGGCUAGGGGCCGAGAGGUUACUGAACCCUAUCAAACUCAGAAUGCCAGAUAAUCAUAACCGGGAGUCAGACAGUGUGAGAUAAGUUUCAUUGUCGAAAGGGAAAGAGCCCAGACCCACAGCUAAGGUCCCAAAAUAUAGUUAAGUGGAAAAGGAUGUGGGGGUGCACAGACAACCAGGAUGUUGGCUCAGAAGCAGCCAUUCAUUAAAAGAGUGCGUAAUAGCUCACUGGUCGAGUGCCCCUGCGCCGAAGAUUUAACGGGGCUAAACUAUAUACCGAAGCUUGGGAUGCAGUAAUGCAUGGUAGGAGAGCGUUGUAUGCGGGGUGAAGUCAGAGCGAAAGCGCUGGUGGACUGCAUACAAGUGAGAAUGCCGGAAUGAGUAGCGAGAAAUAUGUGAGAAUCAUAUUGGCCGAAAGUCUAAGGUUUUAGGAGGAAGGUUCGUCCGCUCCUAGUAAGCCGGGAGCUAAGGUGAGGCCGAAAGGCGUAGCCGAUGCACAUACGGUAGAAAUUCCGUAGCCACCGAAAGAUUUAAGCAAGAGGACACCCAGAAAGAGCAUAACCCGGGCGUUGGUUGACCCGGGCGUAAGGGACUGAAAUUAGAGUAGGGAAGUAUGCGUGGACUGGGGCGAGAAAAGUCUUGUGAAUAUCUAAGGUGCCCGUACCGCAAACCGACACAGGUAGAUAGGAAGAGAAUUCUAAGGCCAACGGGAGAAGGGUAGUUAAGGAACUCGGCAAAUUGACCCCGUAACUUAGGGAAAAGGGGUGCCACAGCAAUGUGGCCGCAGAGAAUAGGCCCAGGCGACUGUUUAGCAAAAACACAGGUUUCUGCCAAAUCGAAAGAUGAAGUAUAGGAGCUGACACCUGCCCGGUGCUGGAAGGUUAAGAGGAGAGGUGCAAGCCUUGAAUUGAAGCCCCAGUAAACGGCGGCCGUAACUAUAACGGUCCUAAGGUAGCGAAAUUCCUUGUCGGGUAAGUUCCGACCCGCACGAAUGGUGUAACGAUCUGGGCACUGUCUCAACUACCCGCCCGGCGAAAUUGUAGUACCGGUGAAGAUGCCGGUUACCCGUGACAAGACGGAAAGACCCCAUGGAGCUUUACUGUAGCUUAAUAUUGGGUUUCGAUAAUUUAUGUACAGGAUAGGUGGGAGGCUAGGAAACUCUGGCGCCAGCCGGAGUGGAGCCACCCUUGGGAUACCACCCUUAAGUUAUUGGAAUUCUAACCUGCGGCCGUGAAUCCGGCCGGGGGACAUUGUUAGGUGGACAGUUUGACUGGGGCGGUCGCCUCCAAAAAGGUAACGGAGGCGCUCAAAGGUUUGCUCAGCACGGAUGGAAACCGUGCUUUUGAGUGUAAACGCAUAAGCAAGCCUAACUGCGAGGGUGACGGCCCGAGCAGUAACGAAAGUUGGAGUUAGUGAU